Molecule: ribosomal RNA, 407 nt
Filed under: uncultured bacterium
Lineage: Bacteria
Description: partial 16S ribosomal RNA
Rfam family: Bacterial small subunit ribosomal RNA
Source: RNAcentral
UGGGGAUAUUGCACAAUGGGCGCAAGCCUGAUGCAGCGACGCCGCGUGAGGGAUGACGGCUUUCGGGUUGUAAACCUCUUUCGCUACUGAACAAGGCCCUGCUUGUUGUGGGGGUUGAGGGUAGGUGGAUAAGAAGCGCCGGCUAACUACGUGCCAGCAGCCGCGGUAAUACGUAGGGCGCGAGCGUUGUCCGGAAUUAUUGGGCGUAAAGAGCUCGUAGGCGGCUUGUCGCGUCUGCUGUGAAAACGCGGGGCUUAACUCCGCGNGUGCAGUGGGUACGGGCAGGCUAGAGUGUGGUAGGGGUGAUUGGAAUUCCUGUGUAGCGGUGGAAUGCGCAGAUAUCAGGAGGAACACCGAUGGCGAAGGCAGGUCACUGGGCCAUUACUGACGCUGAGGAGCGAAAGCAU